RNAcentral lists this transfer RNA (72 nucleotides) under Camelus bactrianus (Bactrian camel). It matches the Rfam family "tRNA". From Rfam's summary of the family: Transfer RNA (tRNA) molecules are approximately 80 nucleotides in length. Their secondary structure includes four short double-helical elements and three loops (D, anti-codon, and T loops). Further hydrogen bonds mediate the characteristic L-shaped molecular structure. tRNAs have two regions of fundamental functional importance: the anti-codon, which is responsible for specific mRNA codon recognition, and the 3' end, to which the tRNAs corresponding amino acid is attached (by aminoacyl-tRNA synthetases). tRNAs cope with the degeneracy of the genetic code in two manners: having more than one tRNA (with a specific anti-codon) for a particular amino acid; and 'wobble' base-pairing, i.e. permitting non-standard base-pairing at the 3rd anti-codon position. The record is from Rfam by way of RNAcentral. Lineage: Eukaryota; Metazoa; Chordata; Mammalia; Artiodactyla; Camelidae. RNAcentral also lists the same sequence under 2 other names.
GAGGGUAUAGAUCAGUGGUAGAGCGUGUGCUUAGCCUGCACGAGGUCCUGGGUUCAAUCCCCAGUGCCUCCA